This 253-nucleotide ribosomal RNA is filed under the name uncultured bacterium. Its description in RNAcentral is "partial 16S ribosomal RNA". It matches the Rfam family "Bacterial small subunit ribosomal RNA", at positions 524 to 776 of the family's 1533-position model. The record is from RNAcentral.
UACGUAGGUGGCAAGCGUUGUCCGGAUUUACUGGGCGUAAAGGGCGUGCAGGCGGUUUGUUAAGUGCAGGGUGAAAGCUCCCGGCUCAACUGGGAGAGGUCCUUGCAUACUGGCGAACUCGAGGGAGGCAGAGGAAAGUGGAAUUCCCGGUGUAGUGGUGAUAUGCGUAGAUAUCGGGAGGAACACCUGUGGCGAAGGCGGCUUUCUGGGCCUUACCUGACGCUGAGACGCGAAAGCGUGGGGAGCGAACGGG